Ailuropoda melanoleuca (giant panda) is the source of this 820-nucleotide long non-coding RNA. RefSeq lists it as uncharacterized. NCBI's taxonomy places the organism in Eukaryota, Metazoa, Chordata, Mammalia, Carnivora, Ursidae. The record is from RefSeq and is a predicted model, not a curated record. The transcript has 2 exons.
UUAAAAAAAAAAAAAAGGUGGGUGGUCAGCCCGGACAGGCCCUCUCCCCCUGCACUGCUGACACUUGGUGGGUCAUUCUUUUCGGGAGGGGGGGUGCUGGGCACCGUGUGUGUCCAGCCACAUCCCUGGCCCCCAGUACAUGAUUCCCGGAGCCACCAGCGCCACCUCCCUGUGCGUUACUUUCCUGUGGUCUUUGCAAAUGACCACGGACCGGGUGGCUUUCAACAUCGAUGUAUUCUCUCAGUCCUGGGGCCGAGAAGUCCCAGGUCCAGGUGGGGCAGGACCGUUUGCUCUGUGAAGGCUCCAGGGAGGGUCCUUCCUGCCUUUUCCAGCUCCUGUGUCGCUGGCCAUCCUUGGCAUCCCUUGCUGUGGACACAUGGCCCCAGUGUGCGUCCACGAUCAUGCGGCUUCUCCCAUGUCUCUGUCCGUGAGGAUUCGUGGCUGCUCCGCUCCAGGGUGACCUCAGUGUAACUGAUUGCAUCUGCCCAGACCCUCUUUCCAAGCAGGACAACCAGAACUAUCCGUGGACAGAGUCCCUGGCAGCACGGGGGCCGCCGCUGAGAACCGCCGCCGUUCCACGCCCACCCGUGUGUGGCUGGUGCCGGUGGCGCGCGGACGAUGGUCAUCCUCGGAACCCACCAACUCUGCUCCGUGCGGCAAUCCCUCUGGUAGAGUUCUGGGGUGACGUGGAAGCAGGCGGCGUGCUGAGAGGUGGCACAGGCCCUGAGCCGCCUUCACAAGCCCGGGUGUCGGCGCCUGGGCUGCAUGUGUCCAUUCUGUGUGUUUUAAAACCUUCUGUGAUAAAAAAAAUAUAUACAUA